This is a long non-coding RNA of Xenia sp. Carnegie-2017, 248 nucleotides long. RefSeq lists it as uncharacterized. NCBI's taxonomy places the organism in Eukaryota, Metazoa, Cnidaria, Anthozoa, Malacalcyonacea, Xeniidae. The transcript is spliced from 3 exons. The record is from RefSeq and is a predicted model, not a curated record.
CAAGACUAUCAAUGCUCUCUUAAACAUAAAGCUCCCCUAUUCAAACGGCUAUGAACAUGCAAACGACAAACUUGAACAGUAUGUUUAUUUAAAUGCUGGAAAAUCCAGUCUGGUUGCCAAAUGCCACUUUAAGACAGAACGUUGCUGUUCAGGACCCCAAGCAGAUGCGCAUUUAAUCAGAUCGCUGCAAUAUGAAGACUAAAUUCCCAACGAGAUAUUGCUGAAAGGUUCAAAGUUUUACCAAUAUA